RNAcentral lists this ribosomal RNA (467 nucleotides) under uncultured bacterium. Its description in RNAcentral is "partial 16S ribosomal RNA". It matches the Rfam family "Bacterial small subunit ribosomal RNA", at positions 28 to 507 of the family's 1533-position model. The record is from RNAcentral.
GACGAACGCUGGCGGCGUGCUUAACACAUGCAAGUCGAACGGAAAGGCCCUGCUUUUGUGGGGUGCUCGAGUGGCGAACGGGUGAGUAACACGUGAGUAACCUGCCCUUGACUUUGGGAUAACUUCAGGAAACUGGGGCUAAUACCGGAUAGGAGCUCCUGCUGCAUGGUGGGGGUUGGAAAGUUUCGGCGGUUGGGGAUGGACUCGCGGCUUAUCAGCUUGUUCGUGGGGUAGUGGCUUACCAAGGCUUUGACGGGUAGCCGGCCUGAGAGGGUGACCGGCCACAUUGGGACUGAGAUACGGCCCAGACUCCUACGGGAGGCAGCAGUGGGGAAUAUUGCACAAUGGGCGAAGCCUGAUGCAGCAACGCCGCGUGCGGGAUGACGGCCUUCGGGUUGUAAACCGCUUUCGCCUGUGACGAAGCGUGAGUGACGGUAAUGGGUAAAGAAGCACCGGCUAACUACGUG